Molecule: transfer RNA, 89 nt
Filed under: Bacteroides fragilis
Lineage: Bacteria; Pseudomonadati; Bacteroidota; Bacteroidia; Bacteroidales; Bacteroidaceae
Also listed under: 1 other name
Description: tRNA-Ser
Rfam family: tRNA
About the family: Transfer RNA (tRNA) molecules are approximately 80 nucleotides in length. Their secondary structure includes four short double-helical elements and three loops (D, anti-codon, and T loops).
Source: RNAcentral
GGAGAGAUGCUCGAGUGGUUGAAGAGGCACGCCUGGAAAGCGUGUAUACGCCAAAAAGUGUAUCGCGGGUUCGAAUCCCGCUCUCUCCG